This 466-nucleotide ribosomal RNA is filed under the name uncultured bacterium. RNAcentral's name for it is "bacterial SSU rRNA". It matches the Rfam family "Bacterial small subunit ribosomal RNA", at positions 339 to 797 of the family's 1533-position model. The record is from RNAcentral.
AUACGGGAGGCAGCAGUGGGGAAUUUUGCGCAAUGGGGGAAACCCUGACGCAGCAACGCCGCGUGAGUGAUGAAGGCCUUCGGGUCGUAAAGCUCUGUCAGAGGGAAAGAAAUGUGGGGUGCUAAUAUCACUUCCACUUGACGGUACCCUCAAAGGAAGCACCGGCUAACUCCGUGCCAGCAGCCGCGGUAAUACGGAGGGUGCGAGCGUUGUUCGGAUUUAUUGGGCGUAAAGCGCGUGUAGGCGGUCUUUUAAGUCUGAUGUGAAAGCCCCGGGCUCAACCUGGGAAGUGCAUUGGAUACUGGGAGACUUGAAUACGGGAGAGGGCAGUGGAAUUCCUAGUGUAGGAGUGAAAUCCGUAGAUAUUAGGAGGAACACCGGUGGCGAAGGCGGCUGCCUGGACCGAUAUUGACGCUGAGACGCGAAAGCGUGGGGAGCAAACAGGAUUAGAUACCCGGGUAGUCCU